Molecule: ribosomal RNA, 447 nt
Filed under: uncultured bacterium
Lineage: Bacteria
Description: bacterial SSU rRNA
Rfam family: Bacterial small subunit ribosomal RNA
Source: RNAcentral
UCGGGAAUUUUGGGCAAUGGGCGAAAGCCUGACCCAGCAACGCCGCGUGAAGGAUGAAGUAUUUCGGUAUGUAAACUUCGAAAGAAUAGGAAGAAUAAAUGACAGUACUAUUUAUAAGGUCCGGCUAACUACGUGCCAGCAGCCGCGGUAAUACGUAGGGACCAAGCGUUGUUCGGAUUUACUGGGCGUAAAGGGCGCGUAGGCGGCAAUUCAAGUCAUCUGUGAAAUCUCCGGGCUUAACUCGGAACGGUCAGAUGAUACUGCUUUGCUAGAGUGCAGAAGGGGCAAUCGGAAUUCUUGGUGUAGCGGUGAAAUGCGUAGAUAUCAAGAGGAACACCUGAGGUGAAGACGGGUUGCUGGGCUGACACUGACGCUGAGGCGCGAAAGCCAGGGGAGCAAACGGGAUUAGAUACCCGAGUAGUCCCUGAGCGGGCUGGCAAGGCGCAU